RNAcentral lists this ribosomal RNA (373 nucleotides) under uncultured organism. RNAcentral's name for it is "partial 16S ribosomal RNA". It matches the Rfam family "Bacterial small subunit ribosomal RNA", at positions 527 to 896 of the family's 1533-position model. The record is from RNAcentral.
GUAGGUGGCAAGCGUUGUCCGGAAUUGUUGGGCGUAAAGCGCGCGCAGGCGGUUCUUUAAGUCUGAUGUGAAAGCCCACGGCUCAACCGUGGAGGGUCAUUGGAAACUGGAGAACUUGAGUACAGAAGAGGAAAGCGGAAUUCCACGUGUAGCGGUGAAAUGCGUAGAGAUGUGGAGGAACACCAGUGGCGAAGGCGGCUUUCUGGUCUGUAACUGACGCUGAGGCGCGAAAGCGUGGGGAGCAAACAGGGAUUAGAUACCCUGGUAGUCCGCGCCGUAAACGAUGAGUGCUAAGUGUUAGGGGGUUUCCGCCCCCUUAGUGCUGCAGCUAACGCAUUAAGCACUCCGCCUGGGGAGUACGGCCGCAAGGCUG